UCAGACGAUGCGUCAUGCAUAUCAAUAAGCGGAGGAAAAGAAACUAACAAGGAUUCCCUUAGUAACGGCGAGUGAACAGGAAAGAGCUCAAAGUUGGAACCUGCUUGACUUAGUUAAGCCGGAUUGUAGACUGUAGAAACGUUUUCUAGGCAAGCCGAGUUAAAAAGUCCUUUGGAACAGGGCAUCAUAGAGGGUGAGAAUCCCGUCUUUGACUCGAGUAUUUUGUCUUUUUAUGAUACGUUUUCCAAGAGUCAGGUUGUUUGGGAAUGCAGCCUAAAUUGGGUGGUAAAUCUCACCUAAAGCUAAAUAUUUGCGAGAGACCGAUAGCGAACAAGUACCGUGAGGGAAAGAUGAAAAGAACUUUGAAAAGAGAGUUAAACAGUACGUGAAAUUGUCAAAAGGGAAGCGUUUGACACCAGUGUUGUUUUCUCGAAAAUCAAUUAAAAAGAGUUAGAUUUUGUUGUGUAUUGACCUUAACAGCUUGCAUUUCAAUUUUCUUGCUUUUUUUAAUGCACUUUUCGUUUAACAAGUCAACAUCAGUUUCUUUUGUUGUAAAAGGGUCAUUGGAAGGUGGCUUUCUUUUCGGAGAAAGUGUUUAUAGCCUUUGGCCCUCUGCAAUCGGAGAGACUGAGGUCUGCAGCGUAGAUCCUUCGGGGUUAGAUACAUUUGUGCUAAGUUAUAGCUUUUUAUAGACAACUUGUUGACUAUGAUUAGUCUUGUAGCUUACUCGCUUAUGCUAUUUUACCUACGCUUAGGAUGUUGAGUCGUAGAGCACGCAG
Molecule: ribosomal RNA, 779 nt
Filed under: uncultured Neocallimastigales
Lineage: Eukaryota; Fungi; Neocallimastigomycota; Neocallimastigomycetes; Neocallimastigales
Description: partial large subunit ribosomal RNA
Rfam family: Eukaryotic large subunit ribosomal RNA
Source: RNAcentral